CCUACGGGCGGCAGCAGUGAGGAAUAUUGGUCAAUGGGCGGAAGCCUGAACCAGCCAAGUCGCGUGAGGGAUUAAGGCCCUGCGGGUCGUAAACCUCUUUUGCCGGGGAGCAGAGGUCCGGACGAGUCCGGGCCGGGAGAGUACCCGGAGAAACAGCAUCGGCUAACUCCGUGCCAGCAGCCGCGGUAAUACGGAGGAUGCGAGCGUUAUCCGGAUUUAUUGGGUUUAAAGGGUCCGUAGGCGGGCAUUUAAGCCGGCGGUCAAAUGUCGGGGCUCAACCCCGGCCUGCCGUCGGAACUGGGUGCCUUGAGUGGGCGAGAAGUAUGCGGAAUGCGUGGUGUAGCGGUGAAAUGCAUAGAUAUCACGCAGAACCCCGAUUGCGAAGGCAGCAUACCGGCGCCCUACUGACGCUGAGGCACGAAAGUGCGGGUAUCGAACAGGAUUAGAUACCCCAGUAGUC
RNAcentral lists this ribosomal RNA (460 nucleotides) under uncultured bacterium. RNAcentral's name for it is "partial 16S ribosomal RNA". It matches the Rfam family "Bacterial small subunit ribosomal RNA", at positions 338 to 795 of the family's 1533-position model. The record is from RNAcentral.